CGUAGGGACCAAGCGUUGUUCGGAUUUACUGGGCGUAAAGGGCGCGUAGGCGGCAAUUCAAGUCGGCUGUGAAAUCUCCGGGCUUAACUCGGAACGGUCAGCUGAUACUGCUUUGCUAGAGUGCAGAAGGGGCAAUCGGAAUUCUUGGUGUAGCGGUGAAAUGCGUAGAUAUCAAGAGGAACACCUGAGGUGAAGACGGGUUGCUGGGCUGACACUGACGCUGAGGCGCGAAAGCUAGGGUAGCAAACGGGAUUAGAUACCCCGGUAGUCCUAGCCCUAAACGAUGAAUACUUGGUGUCUGGAGUUUUUAUCCUCCGGGUGCCGUCGCUUAACGUUUUAAGUAUUCCGCCUGGGGAGUGCGCACGCAAGUGUG
Molecule: ribosomal RNA, 373 nt
Filed under: uncultured organism
Description: bacterial SSU rRNA
Rfam family: Bacterial small subunit ribosomal RNA
Source: RNAcentral